CAAAAACUUGAUGUGUCCCAACCGCAAGUGCGCGAGUCGUUCAAGUAGUAUAGAAACACAUAUCGUUCCCAGGGAGAGUUAAAAUAAAAUAUGCUAAAAUUGUAUUUUAAUCAAAUAAAUAAAAGAAAUUUGGGAAUUUGAAGCAUAAGGUAUGAAAAUGCAAAACUAAAUUCAAACAAUGACUAAUUUAAUAAUUCGCAAAAUAAAGAAAUUGAUAAUAAUGAAAAUUAAUAAAAUGAGAUUAAACUAAACACUCAAAAGUAAAAUUCCAAGCAAUAAUUGAUGAAAGACGAUUCUGGAGUUAAGGGUUCAUAUUUAAGUUAUUUUGAGAUUUUCCCUAGCUAGCCCAAUCCAUGAAAUUUAUGGGUUUAAAGGAAAUUAAUUCUAAAAUCCCUUGAAAACUCUUUCGAGUGAGACAAAGAGUACCUUAAUUAACUUAAUCCUACUUU
This 449-nucleotide unclassified non-coding RNA is filed under the name Hevea brasiliensis (rubber tree). The record is from RNAcentral. Lineage: Eukaryota; Viridiplantae; Streptophyta; Magnoliopsida; Malpighiales; Euphorbiaceae.